Molecule: long non-coding RNA, 5228 nt
Organism: Daphnia pulex (common water flea)
Lineage: Eukaryota; Metazoa; Arthropoda; Branchiopoda; Diplostraca; Daphniidae
Exons: 2
Source: RefSeq, a predicted model, not a curated record
UACAGCGGAAUUCAUUCCGCUCAACCCUAAGGGUGUAGACUUAUUUUAUUUAGCACUUCAAAGAAAAAAAUUGAAGGCCGUCUAGCCUUCCUCGACCGCGGCACGCCCCCUUUUCCUCAGACUUAUUUUUGCUCUGUUACAAGUAACACGCGUAUAUAGAAUGUCUAUAGAUAUCGUCCAUCGUUUUGUGAAUUUUUCGAUGGCCAGUUUUUCGAGCCACGUUGGUUUUUCGAACAACCUAGGCUCGAGUGCGAUUAACACACGAUCGUGAAUUGCGUAGCCGCCUCCAUCAUCACCAAUCAUCUUGAUUUUCAAGUAAGACCCCGCUCACCCGUCGCUCUUUCUCGUUCGAUUCUCGUUACGUUCACCGCUGGUGGACAAGUACAAUCUUGACGUUUCUGUUUUUUGGGACCUGAGGGGUUCGGCUUUGUGCCCCCUUUCGACGACCGUUUCGUGGGAGUCAAUCAGGUCAGCAGUAGCCGGCGCGACGACAAGAGAGGGUAUGCAGAAACGGUUUCUAUUGGUAUAGCCAGCGACGACGGUUGCUGCUAGGAUGAUGAUGGUUACAGCUAUCUAUCGUUUCGACCAAGAUGGUUUCAUUGCGAUAUACAGAGACUGGCUUAUCGUUAUGGCGAUGGGAGAGACGUUCGUUUUAGUCGCGUAGAACUAGAAUUGCGAGACCAACGCAUUAGAUAAUCGUUCCCCCUACCGCAACGAGUACCGGAACAAUUUCCUCUCUUGCAGAAAAGACUUCGUUUGCUAUCGUACCGAUCAGCGAUCAAGUGGCCCACGAGGAGCAAGACCACUCUGAGAGGAAGUAGUAGUAGGCUGUUGCCUACCAGAAGAUCGAGUAGUUGAAGAAAAGGAGCAGUAUGGGCGGAAGCCACAUCUUGUGCAACAGCAGCCACAGCUAGUGAUUCGGCAUUAGUACGGGAGGUAGUGGAUCUAGUUCCGGCCCCUAUGGAAGACCGAGUAGUCACAGCACCAUUUGAGGAGGCGAUGCUCCCCAGUAUCUCAGGUUCGCGACCACCUUCAGCUCCUAAAACCAUCUCCGAUGAGAUUUAAAUUUUUUAGGACGACCGUGCUGAUCCACCGACAUGUCGAAAGCAAUCUCGAAAGAGUUUUCUCUCGAUGAUGCGACACCGACUUUUCUCUGAUAUUCUCCAAGCUUGAGUUGGGGGAUUGGAUUACUUUUUUUCUUGAGAUGGUGGGUUGGAUAAUUGGAUUACCCGCCGGGUUCUCCUAAAAUCGUGCAAGAACUCGCUAAAAUCUAUCAAUGCGGAACAUGAGUCGUUGCUUAUAGCUGUAAUUAAAACUAUGUAUAGGCCUAUCGCGCAGACACUUGCGGACCUUUACACUCAGCUGCGUUCCCUGCCGGACAAGUGCGGUUAAGAGCCAGUGCAGGUCGUUCCCCAGCAAUAGGGACGCGCUUAUGUUUUCAUAACCAGAGAGCGUCGGAAUGCGGUGAUCGCGUUCGCCGAGCCGUCGGCUAACUAUUUGUUGGAUGAAUCAUAACGAGUUCGACACAGGCAAGGAAGCGCGCUCCUUUCUGCUUACCAACAGAUUCUUACAAGCAGUGCUGAACAAACGCCAACCGGGAUGACAUCCUGGCUCAAGCAUCGGGAGUAGCCGUGGCGGCCGCUGCUGCUAAUGCCCCGAGGCGUUCGAAUAUUAGGCGGGUGCGUUUCGAGCCACCUAAUAUUUCGUCUCAAUCGCGACAGCGUUUCAAGCCAGAACCGAUAGUUAGCUUGAACCUUCGCUCCAUCGCUUGGCUACAAGAAAGUCGGAGGUAUGACGGUACGUUUCAUGCAAUCCGGCCUCUUGAUUUCUUGAAAGACAAUUAAAGAUCCGCACCUUGACUUUUAAUCACAGUGGGAGUGCCUCGGGGCUUCUGUUGUCAUUAAUUGCCUAGUAUCUGGCUUAACAAGGCUCCAAGAUUUUUCAUUUUUUACAACAAAUCAGAGCCCUUUUAUUUUGGCGACGACGUUCGUUUUAAUCACCACCACGUUGUCGCACGUUGUACGGACCAGAUCCGGUCGUGUGAGGUGGAGAAGGCAGGCGGAGUAGAAUAGCGGGCCAUCGCAGUGGUUAUCGCUCCAUCGCUAACCUCCAAAAAAGCCUGAAGUACGUUACACGAACCCGAACCCUUGGCUUCUUGAAAAACGAUCCAUGAACGUUAAAUCUUGAUCGUAGCGGAAGUGCCUCGGGGGCUUCUGUUGCCAUUAAAGAUCGCCUAGUAACUGUCGCAUCAAAGCUCCCAGAUUUUCAUUUCAAUUUUUAAACUAUAACGAAUUAGAGCCUUUUUUGCGAUGACGUUUCAAUCACCGCCACGUUGUUCGAGGUGGAGAAGACAGGCGGAGUAGAAUAGCGGGCCAUCGCCGUGGUCAUCGCUCCAUCGCCUGUUUCCUAGAAAGGCGGAAGUACGUUACACAUAUCCGAACCCUCGACGGCUGGAAAGACAAUCAAGUCGUGCACCUUAAAUUAAUCUCAGCGGAAGUGCCUCGGGCUUCCGUCGUCAUUAGAAAAUUGCCUAAUAUCUGUCGCACCAAAGCUCCCAGAUUUUUCGUUCCAAAAAAUCUGAGCCAUUUUCAGUUUUGCGGUGACAAGUAUCCGACUUGUCAGAUAGGCAGAAGAUAUGUUGAUCUUAAACGGGUCCAAAAAGCGAGCUGUGAGCGGUCAUUAAUACAGCUAUUGUUUACCCCUAGGCACUAGGCCGUCGGCCGAGGUGCCGUAAAUGAACUCGCGGGACGAAUUCGAACUCUUGAAGACGGCCAUCAAGUUGCGGACGUUGACUUAGACGUCGUCGUAGGACGAAAUGGGCCCACGUGCAACAGCUGUCGAUCCAGUUGAAGCCGCUGUGACUUUGCGCGUCAAAUCGAAGUAGGUUCCAAUCACAUUCACCUGCAAAAUGUCGCCGUGGGUGGCGCUUUUUAUUUGUUCAAUCCGCUUUUGAAUGUCGCUUUCUUGGGCAAUGAGACGACGAAACCGUGGCUCACCAGUUGGACGACGACGGGUGUAGCAGCCGGUUGCAUUAUUCUGCCGGGCAGAUCGGCUCAACGCCUUUGCGGAUGACUUCUCGUUUGUCAAAGUAGCCCGGCGCAGAAAUGAAAGCCAUAAAGAAGCCCACCGUGUUGGGGCUGCUGGUGGUGGCAUUUUGGCACGACGCGAGGUCGAUCGGGUAGCCAAAAGACGUCACUUCCUUGAACACCAGCCGAAAUCGACUCGCGGUGGCCGGACGUGGCUGGGCAACAUCACGAAUCGUGUCGGAUGCCGGAUGAAAUGCUAUUUUUUGAGUUGCGGGCCCCCGGGGAAAGCGCUGUGGCGCAAGUACCGACGAGAUGAUUGAGAAACAGGCGCGCGGCUGAGUCUCACCACGCUGCUGCUGAUUUCAACUUUCAAACCGACUAUCAACAGUCUCAUCAUCGGUUGCGUUGGAUCCUGUUCUUUUCUGAAUAACUCGGUGGAGAUCAGCUAGACAGCUACGCUAAAAAGGCGGCGGAUCGAUGUCCGCCGCUCUCACAACCGUUUGGGCAAGGCGAGACGGAUUAAAGUUGAAGCGAGAAGCUGAAUCUAGCGAUUCGGAUUAGACACGGCCAUGAUCUCUCGUUUUCUAGAGGUAUGGAGUUAUGCGCUGAUAUGUCACCGCUUCCUGAAACAUAUCAUUCUUCAAAUUAUCCGGAAUCGGCGCUCGGAAUUUAGUCGCCUGGUAGCUCGCAGCCGCUCGCAGCAGGUGAUCGUACGACGGGCAAGUUCUUAUCAGCCAGAUAUCGAACCUCUCCUGGCGGAUGUGUUGACCAGUUGUUGAUCAAUUGGUGUUUGUGGCGGAAUAUCGAUUCCUGAUGUAGCAAUUUAGACUCUGUACCAGUCUAGCCAGCCCAGUUGCACGCCAUGUCCAGUCUAAGCUUUCAGUUUAUGCCCUCGUCGGGCAGGAAUGAGCUUCUAUCGCCCAGCUUAUCCGGAAAAAUUAGUUCGGCCUACCUUGCUGGAUCUCACUACCUUGGUAAAGUUGCCCGAGAGAACCUCCGUCACCUUCUCGUCGGCCAGACGGACAGAGAAUCAAAUUAGCCUCUCUCUCCUUUUUGAGCCUCGCAAGGCACUGUGAAGGUCCGUUGCAAACUUUCACAUUUUCAGCAUGCCGAUCUCAAUACCUUGCAGUAGCCUAGCGACGUUACGAUUUCAUUUAAAUCGCGCGAGUAUCGGUAGACCACCGAUUAAAGAAGGCAAGUUGUCCAUCUCUCUCUUUGUCUCUUUUCGUGCCGUAUUCGGCAAGACAAUCAGUAGGUGGUUUUUAAACCGUUUCGUUAAACGCCGGAAUUGAUGCGAAAAUAUACAGCGCCCACUUGACGGGAAGUGAGGCUUCGUCACGUCACUGGCCGUUGUCAGUGGCCUUGCUUAUCAGUAGCGGCGUUACGAUUUGAUCUAAAUCGCGCGAAUAUCGGUAGACCACCGAUUUAAGAGGGCAGGUCGCCUAUCGCUCUCUUAUUCGUCCUUUUUCGUGCCGUAAUUGGCAACUCAAUCUGAAAAGGGCUGGAAUUUAUACUAAAAGAUGCAGAGCCCACUUGACGCAUAGUGCGGCUUCGUCACUGGCCGUUACCAGGGGCCUUUUUAUCGACAAAUUAUGGCAAGCGUACAUUUGGGCCAUCCAAAUAACGUUCAUAAGAUUCUACAAUCGCAGAACACCAGCAACAUUCGCAACAUCGGCUAUGGCCGACGCUUAAGCUUUAAAGUCACCCUUAGGGUUGAGCGGAAUGAAUUCCGCUGUACAAUUGAAAAUUACCAGAGUGAUCGCUCAGCGAUCACGAUAGUUUGCUUAAUGUUGCAGCCUGCCUUAUCCCAGUGUCCAGCCGGACAGUCAAGCCAAGAAGGGCCGGAGAGGAGCGUUUCGAUUUCGAGCACCUCGUGAAGCGUGAAGGCGUGAAGGCGCACCAAAACUCAGCCCAACUUUGUUCUUUACGUUCAAUUAUGUUACGAAAGGCCAUGUCGGCCUAUUCUGUUUUUCUUGCAAUCGGCUUUUUCUGGCUAAUAGCCAGUUUUUUAUGCCUCGAUAUCUCUUGGUUCAUGUUACAUUCUUGUAAAAUGUUUUCUCAUGAAAUGUAAUUUUUGACACGCGCACCCCCGUUAUUCCCAAAAUAAGUCUGAGGAAAAGGGGGCGUGCCGCGGUCGAGGAAGGCUAGACGGCCUUCAAUUUUUUUCUUUGAAGUGCUAAAUAAAAUAAGUCUACACCCUUA